UCUGCUUUGUCCUAAGUCAAACGCGUCUAACUUUGAUCAAGUUCAUAUAAGAAUUUAUUAACAAAUAUAACAUCAAAUAAAUGCACUAUCAAGCUAUAUUUCAUGUUGGAGUCAAUGAAACUAAUUUGAUGUUGUAGAUGUUGGUGCUUUUUUCUAUAAACUUGGUGAAAGUUAGAUGAGUUUGGCUUAGGUCAAAGCUCGU
RNAcentral lists this microRNA precursor (202 nucleotides) under Dichanthelium oligosanthes. Its description in RNAcentral is "MIR1435 microRNA precursor family". It matches the Rfam family "MIR1435 microRNA precursor family". Lineage: Eukaryota; Viridiplantae; Streptophyta; Magnoliopsida; Poales; Poaceae. The record is from Rfam by way of RNAcentral.